Molecule: ribosomal RNA, 266 nt
Filed under: uncultured prokaryote
Description: partial 16S ribosomal RNA
Rfam family: Bacterial small subunit ribosomal RNA
Source: RNAcentral
UACGUAGGUGGCGAGCGUUAUCCGGAAUUAUUGGGCGUAAAGAGCGCGCAGGUGGUUGAUUAAGUCUGAUGUGAAAGCCCACGGCUUAACCGUGGAGGGUCAUUGGAAACUGGUCGACUUGAGUGCAGAAGAGGGAAGUGGAAUUCCAUGUGUAGCGGUGAAAUGCGUAGAGAUAUGGAGUAACACCAGUGGCGAAGGCGGCUUCCUGGUCUGUAACUGACACUGAGGCGCGAAAGCGUGGGGAGCAAACAGGAUUAGAUACCCCU